Molecule: ribosomal RNA, 432 nt
Filed under: uncultured bacterium
Lineage: Bacteria
Description: partial 16S ribosomal RNA
Rfam family: Bacterial small subunit ribosomal RNA
Source: RNAcentral
GAUGAACGCUGGCGGUAUGCUUAACACAUGCAAGUCGAACGGUCACUUCGGUGAUAGUGGCGGACGGGUGAGUAACGCGUGAGAAUCUGUCUUCAGGUCGGGGACAACAGUUAGAAAUGACUGCUAAUACCGGAUGUGCCUUUGGGUGAAAGAUUUAUUGCCUGAAAAAGAGCUCGCGUCAGAUUAGCUAGUAGGUGGUGUAAGAGACUACCUAGGCUCCGAUCUGUAGCUGGUCUGAGAGGACGAUCAGCCACACUGGAACUGAGACACGGUCCAGACUCCUACGGGAGGCAGCAGUGGGGAAUGUUCCGCAAUGGGCGAAAGCCUGACGGAGCAAUACCGCGUGAGGGACGAAGGCUUUUGGGUCGUAAACCUCUUUUCUCAAGGAAGAUGAUGACGGUACUUGAGGAAUAAGCAUCGGCUAACUCCGUG